Molecule: small nuclear RNA, 81 nt
Filed under: Pan troglodytes (chimpanzee)
Lineage: Eukaryota; Metazoa; Chordata; Mammalia; Primates; Hominidae
Source: RNAcentral
AAAACUGGAAUGAUACAAAGAAGAUUAGCAUGGCCCUUGCGCAAGCAUGAUAUACAAAUUCAUGAAGCAUUCCAUACUAAA